CCCCCGGGGAGAGCUGGAAGAAGUAGCUAGGGAGAGGGAAGUCUGGGCUUCCCUGCUAAAGCUGUUGCCCCCGCGACCCGGCCCCGGAUAAGCGGUAGAUGAUGGAUGGAUGGAAAAAACCUUACACCCAAAGAGCAGGCAAAAUCUAAAUUGGAGAAAAAGACAAGGUCUCCCAGAGCAAAUUUGAGGAGACCAUGGAAUGAAGAAGAAAAGGCUGCUGUGGAAAAACACCUGGGGAGACUUAUAAAAGGGUGUCAAGCAAGAACAAUGCACUGACUGCAAAAUGAAAGAGCCGCAGGCCUUGGCUCAAAGAACCUGUAAAGACGUAAAGAACUUCAAGAAAAGAUCUGCUUCUCGAGUUCUUCAUUUUUAAAUUUAAAUUUUUUUGCUGGAGUAUUUUUUUUCAAUUCUUUUCUACUCUUCCUGAGCAGUGUUGUUAAAAAUGUUCUACUUGAGGUGAGAUUUAAUGUUGACAUGUACUUAUAAAGUUUUACAAUAUAUUUGAUUUAGUUCCGUAAAUGAAUUGGCCAAAGCAUGGGUCACUUUUAUUGUAGUAGUAAUUGUACAGCAAUCAAUCGGUUCAAGUUGUGAUUGAUAUAUAAUGUAUAAAUGAGGAACUCUGCUUAUCUUAAGUUGAAACUAUCAAAUUAUUCAUAAAACAGACUACUCACACUUUUUAAAAUUAAAAUACAAAAUGUCUGCUGUGUAAUUGCAGGUUAAUAAGAGAGGAAAAACUCUGAAGGCCAUACCAAAAGUUGAUUUGUAUGCUUAACUGCAACAAAACCAAAAAAGAUAAGAUAUUUUAACCAAAGUCACAACAGGAGUGAGGACUUUGAAUGUGCCCAUUCAGAGUCCUCACUCCUGCUAUGAUUUCAGUUUCAAGUCUACUUUUUAUUGCUCUGUUUUUUAAAGAAGUUGAAGUGGGGAAAGUAGUUGGGGUGACAUCUAGUGUACAAAUCUAAGACUAGUACCUCUCUAAACCUAUCAGAAAGGGUGGUCCUCACUCCUUAUCUGGAGUUACCCGGACCUCACAAAUAUAGUCUUACAGGAAUGUGUGUGUGUGUGUGUGUGUGUGUGUGUGUGUGUGUGUGUGUGUGUGUGUGUGUGUGUGUGUGUGUGUGUGUGUGUGUGUGUGUGUGUGUGUGUGUGUGUGUGUGUGUGUGUGUGUGUGUGUGUGUGUGUGUGUGUGUGUGUGUGUGUGUGUGUGUGUGUGU
Long non-coding RNA from Hippocampus zosterae (dwarf seahorse), 1214 nucleotides. RefSeq lists it as uncharacterized. NCBI's taxonomy places the organism in Eukaryota, Metazoa, Chordata, Actinopteri, Syngnathiformes, Syngnathidae. The transcript is spliced from 2 exons. The record is from RefSeq and is a predicted model, not a curated record.